AGGGUUUCAAGGUGGAGAAGAUUGGUUGCAUCUUCCCUCAAAGUGAAACCUUUGGAACAAUGCUUGGCCUGAGAAAAGGACCAAAGGGUUAAGGAGGUUUCCAUGAGUGACUAUCAGUUGAAUGGAAGGCUGAUUUUGCCAACGUUGGGAAUUAGUGAAAGAACAAAAAACGAGGUGUAUAUAUUGUUCACAAUAAAAUUUCCAUAAGUUGCUAUUUGCUUUACUCAUGGGAUGCCAAGGGACACAACACAUGAAGAAACAGUUGAUUAGAAAGAUUGGCAGGCUUUACUUAUAUGACAUUAUUUCCCCCAUUCGCCUUGCUUCCCACCACCUGAUAAGGUGCGUUUUAUUCGCUUUUAAUCUUACUUUAUAUUUCUUAUUAAGAUUAUUUUGUUUAGAUUUUAAAUAUUUUAUAGAACUCAUAAUCUGGUUAUAAAAUGUAACAUCAAUAUCACUAAUUCUUAAAUUAUUUAACAUUA
Long non-coding RNA from Gossypium arboreum, 479 nucleotides. RefSeq lists it as uncharacterized. The transcript has 2 exons. The record is from RefSeq and is a predicted model, not a curated record. NCBI's taxonomy places the organism in Eukaryota, Viridiplantae, Streptophyta, Magnoliopsida, Malvales, Malvaceae.